Podarcis lilfordi (Lilford's wall lizard) is the source of this 75-nucleotide non-coding RNA. The record is from the annotation of a GenBank genome assembly. Lineage: Eukaryota; Metazoa; Chordata; Lepidosauria; Squamata; Lacertidae.
GCCCUGGAUAGCUCAGUUGGUUAGAGUAUGGUGCUGAUAACGCCAAGGUUGCAGGUUCAAUCCCACCAUGGUGCA